RNAcentral lists this long non-coding RNA (1439 nucleotides) under Nicotiana benthamiana. Its description in RNAcentral is "long non-coding RNA (NBEN_LNC026296)". Lineage: Eukaryota; Viridiplantae; Streptophyta; Magnoliopsida; Solanales; Solanaceae. The record is from RNAcentral.
AUAUCUUCAUAGUUAUAAAUCUGAUAUAACUACAUUAAUAGUAUGUUAAGAGAACCAUCCACAAGGAAACUUAGACACUUGUUGGUCUGAUCACACUGUCUAAACUUUUCAUCUUGAGUAUAUACUAACCUUGUGGGUUAGGGAAACAAGCAUGAAAGUCGUGAUGUUUUGUAGAGCCUGAGGGGUCAUAUGGUAUCCCUUUCCUUUGUGAGGAUGAGGAUGGAGCAAUACUCUUAAAGACCAAAUAUCACAUCUAAAAACUUCCUGCCCAGUGUUUUGCUUUGAAUUAGUAGGAUGCCUGCCAUUAAGUGAAGGCCUUAGUUUAGGAACUAUAACUCAAUUUCUCAAUGUCUCUUCACACUUUUUUGACCCACUUCUAUUUUUUGGCAUUGAUUUAUCAUUUCUUUCAGUUUUAUGUCCACUUAUGUAUUUAGUUGGUGAGAAGACCUCACUACUUCUCAAUCACCAUGUCGACACCCUAAAAGUUUCAUCAUAUGAAUAAGAUAUUGGCCUAUUUAGGCCUUUACAAGUUUAUUUCUACUAUAUUAGUUUUCCUUUCUUUACAUGCCGAAUGCCUUUCUUAAUUUUAAGUUAGUAAUAGACUAAUAUCUCAAAAUCUAGACGUUCGCGAGUAUGAAUGUUCUCCUUUUUAAAUCUCUACAGGUGCUUGUUUGUUCAAGAGAUGGCAGUGUUUACUCCUUUGAUUUGGUAAAGAUCUUGAACUUCAGUUGUUCUUGUGCAGCUUAUGAUUAUGACAUAUAAAGAGCAUGCUAUGCUGAUGGUGUUUUCUCUCUUGAAGACCAAAUGUUCUUGUGCAGCUUAUGAUUAUGGCAUAUAAAUAGCAUACUAUGCUGAUGGCGUUUUCUCCUUAAGGAGCUUGAAGACCAAAUUUGGCGUUUUUGUCGGAACAAUUUUCUUAUUCUCUGUAUCUUUUCCUCAUUAAGCUAGGUUCUCCUUUUCCAAAUCACCUCCAUAUAGGUGUAGUUUAAGCACCCAAGUUAGUUUUACCGAAUCCAGUGCAAAUCCCACACCAACACCCAAAUCGCAUCGAAUUGAUACCUGUGCGACAAGAAUUUUGAAGGAUCUGAGCAAUAUAGAUUACCUCAAGAGAUCUCUCUAUUUUUCUGUUUAAACUAACAAUGUUUAAGCCUACAUGAUAAUGAAUCUAUAUUUGUUUUAAUGACGGCGGUGUCCAGGCCAGCUUGUGCACACUUUGAUUAUUCCACCGAGUACCUCCCACCAGCACAAGUAUUGGGUAACUUUGCCCACCAAGGCUUAGGCAAAUGAGAAGAAAUAGUGUUUUUUGCUUCCACUGGGAUUUGAACCUGAGACCUUAUGGCUCUCCUCCCACUGUAUUGACUACUAGGCCACACCCUUGGGUGCACGGAUCUAUUUUAUUUGUCAAAAUCUAGUUUCUAGCCAUUAAUUCCUAGUUGAAC